GUUCCUCGACCGUUGGUUACCCCAACGUCAACACCACCAACAGCAGCAGCAGCAGCAGCCUGUUCAGCGAUCAUCAACCUUUCAUCUUCGUGCCGGACGCAGAUCGUGGAUGCGAAGUACUCAGCUGCUUCGAUAUGGUUUGGAGUAACGAUCGUAAACUACUUCCGGUUCAAGAGUAGCUCUGCUCCAGCGCCGCUCAGAAAAAACAGUAUGUUUUGGUGAUAAUGUUAUCAUAAGUAUUAUCCAACCGUAAGCGAAUAUCGAUUACGCCCAACAAUGCCGCCAUACACAAAAGUA
This is a long non-coding RNA of Toxorhynchites rutilus septentrionalis, 297 nucleotides long. RefSeq lists it as uncharacterized. The record is from RefSeq and is a predicted model, not a curated record. The transcript has 3 exons. NCBI's taxonomy places the organism in Eukaryota, Metazoa, Arthropoda, Insecta, Diptera, Culicidae.